UCCCCCGGCCCUGCUCCCCCGGCCCUGCUCCCACACUGGGACCAUGGCAGCUCCACGCCGCGGGAAGCAGCCACAUCUGCUUCUCCAUGCCGCUGCUCUCUGAAGGCAAUGCUGGGCUCCAGUGCCACUUCUUCCCCAGAAACCAGAGGUAGGCCCGCUGCAGAACUUGUUCGACAUGAACAUCAGCCACUGAAAGGGCCACGAACGAGGGGGGAAGGAACGGGGCGUGGGAAAGAGCUUCGGGAGCCCACACUGAGGUGUCAGGCAUGUGCCCGCCAUCCCCUGGGCCUUUGCUCCACUGCUGGCAGCAAGGGCUGGCAGCGUGAGAGGGGCCAUUUGUGGCAUUUAUUUAAAUACUUGACAACAAGGCAUGGUACAUAAAAGGACCACUAAAUUUUAAUUUUUUCCCCUCAGCUGUGACAAUUCAGGAGUUAUGCCUGUCAAGUUGCUCUUGGGUAGAGCUGGUUGAACUCAAUGGAGUGUUUUCAGUCAGCAAAUGUUGAUUAAUACCAAAAUGUUUGUGGGAAUUUUUCUGUGUCAGGAAAGUUCCAAUUAAGAACCUCCCUGGUUUCCUGUCAGUUUGCUUGGCUCCGCGGCUGCCUCGCUGGUGGGCUGCUGCAGAGCUGGGCCUCCAGCAGGUCUGGUUCGUGGUGCUUUGACAGGCUGCUAGGAGAGAUGCCUGGGACUUCUGGGAGCUGGAGAGGUGGGACUAGAGCUACCCACAGAAUUUCGUUCAGUUUAUUCUUGAGUGUUACGAAAAUGUGACAACUGUGGAAAAAAAUUAGUAUCUAAUGUUUUCCAUUAGGAUGUAAAUCUGUUUCUUAUAAAAAGUUGCUGUUCUUUGUGAUAAAAAUGCCACUUCUUCUUCAGGUCUGUUUCCCAGAUCAGUUAAAGCAGCCAGCAUCUGUCUGACUGCUGCACCAUCUCUGUUGACACAAUUGUAUUCUUAGGAAACUCCUUUCAGCUGUUGAUAAGGGUUUGAACAAAGGAGGUGUCUGGAACUAGUUAGAGCAGGAUUUCUACCACUUCAAAGUCCAUUACCUGGUGGGAUGAUGAAAAUCGAAUUGAGAACAUUCAUAGGAACUCUUCUCUGUAAAAAUUUGAAUAUAGUUGUUUGUGAGAGCUGCUGUUCCACAGUGAAAAAAUCAGUGCCCACGGUAUGGGACCAGAAUGAAUAAUUACCUGCCAGUCUUCUAUGAGUUCAAAAACUUCUGUCAUGUGUCCUAGAAUAAUGACUACAUAUGUAAUGUACUUUGUUACUAAAUGUUUACCUCCAUUUAACGAUUUAAUGUUAAUUUUGUACUAACCAUAAGAAUUCUAUAAAAAAAUCCAUGGGUUAAGUUUCUAUCAGUACUGUUUAGCUCGUAUUCUAGAGAAAUAUAUAUCUAUAUAGAAAACUUGUGUUGCUAACCUUAAAAUGGUUCAUUACAGGAAAUUGCACUCUAAACCAUGUAGCUUCUCAACCCAAACUGGUUCUUUUUGUCAUCAAGCCCUUAUUCAUGCAAUUUCUAAAACUGCAAAAUUAGGAUGGCUUGAUGUACUGAAAAAUCUUCAAAGAUAUUAUUGCUGAUGAAAAAAAAAAAAGUAUUGGAAGUAAGAAACAAUUGUUCACUUCUGCCUUUUUUGUUGUUGUUGUCUUUUUUUGUUUGGACCUCUUAAUUCAUAGUUAUUGGAAUGUUAUGUUUCUUGAUUUGAUACUGGGAUGGAAAAAGUGUGAAGUGCAUUGCUUGAGACAGAUUGUCUGUUGAGGAAGGACCAGGGUGGGUUUGCUGCCUAUGUGAGGUUGUGGGGUUUGAUGCCUCACAGAAUUCAUAGUGCUGUCUUGGCUUUUUCUCGGUUUUCUUUUUCAGAUCACUCCUUUAUAGUGUGGUUGUGAAACAACAGCCCUUGUUGUCAAGCCAUUCUGUUUAAUGCCUUCAUUUUUCAUCAGCUCCUAUAGAAACACAUUCUUGAUACAUGUCUAUGUGAAGGUUCAGCCUUUCUCAACUUCUGAUGAGAAAAAGCAAUGGGAAAUUUUAAGUUAUUUGGCAAUUUACUUGCAGGAUGAUCCAUUACGUGUGUAUGUGCUGGUGAUCCUGGUAACUCAGCAAGGAAAUACAAAGUUAGCAGUUUUUGUUUCUUGCCAGAUGUGAAAUGUAAAAGGCAGACAGGGCACCAACGUCACUUUUGCCUGAGAGCUCCCCUAAAUUGUCUCUCCUCACAUGCUUUGGUGUGGGUAACAGGACAAACCAGAGGACAGUGAGAGGUCAGGCCCCUUGGGCAUUGUGGACCACUGUGUAACAGGAAUGGUUCUCUCAGAACUGACUCAGGAAAUGGAUCUGGUUGAUUAUUCAAGACCUUCAGCAAAGCCUUGUAAAAGAGUUUCCUCAUUUCGUGACACCUCUCUGAAGGACAUUCUGCUGCUUGUGUGCUCUUUUGAAGGAGAGUUUUCCAGAUGAUCUCUUUGAUGGAUGCCCAGUUACCCCAGUAAAAAAAAUGAAGACAUAGAACUGGCAGUUCUGUGAUUCUUGGAUCAGAGUGUGAGAGCCCAUCUUCAGCACAGCUCAAAGAGUUAUUUACAAGUAUUUGUGUGGAAAGGGCAGUCUUGGCCUGAUGAAAUGUUCAUGGAGCAGCAGCAUGUACAGAAAACUUUGCCUCUUUUGUCAAGCUGUUGUCACCUGAGCAGCAAUGCAUCGCUUCCACUCCAGAAGAGAGAGAGUCAGUGGAGCUGAGCUUCUAAGGACUCCUUCCUUCAGAGCAGCAGUCAUGUCCAGAAACCUUUUGGGUUUUAAGAAAAAAGGUGAGAAACCUUUUGGAGUUUGAGAUAGAAAUGAGGCUUCAGCUACUUCCCCUGUUUUGUAAUUCCUUUGAUCUGGAAACUUUCCAGAUGCAUGAAGUAACCAGAUUUCUCAAUCAAAUUUUAAAUUCUUUUUAUUUGGGCUACCCUUGGCUUCACAUGACUUAUGUAGUCACUGUCUGGGGGUGUCAGAUGGAGUGAACAUCCACAUUGCUGUAAAGGGCUUCAUGAGGAAUAAAGGGAAAAGCCUCCUCUGAGGCAGGUGAGAUGUCACACCUACUUCCUUCCUUUUGCACCCGUGUGACAAUAACUGUACCAGGAAAGGUCUGCACAGAAAUCCCUGCAGAAACUACAUUUUGCUCAGUCAAGGACAGAGCUUCCAGCAAGCGCUCCUGUUUCUAUUUGGAUGGCAGUGCCUGGCUCAUCCAAACAUUUUGAUAAUACUUGGACCGUGAUCUUUUUUCUUUUCCUUUCCUGCUAAAUAUUUGAACCAUUUGCACUUUUCAUCCCAUAUUAUUGUGCCAUUAGGAAAAGCAGUAAAGCGUUUUUGAAUGUCAAGUUUAAGUGGAAAAAUAAUUUAAAAAUAAUAAAAUACAGAGACUACUUUUGCUUAUGUGAUUGGCUUUGGUGUUGAAAAGCCAAAGAGCACACAGGUAUGGUGUUAGAGGAUACCAGACAGUGUUUUUUUCUCCAGGAAGAGGAAAAUGAACCCAUUGGCUCUCAAUUGCUCCCCUUUUUUUGUGUUGCACAAUAAAUUAGCAUCUUUCUGCGAGAUCUUGUGGCAAACCCACCUACCUUGGGUCAUUCUCCGCCUCAGGGAAUAUUUGGCUUGUCACCUGCAGUUCUGGGAGCACUCAUAAAGGCUCAGGUGAGAGGUCAGUGCUGUUAGGAGCUUUCCAUCCAGGUAAGAUGAGACAUGAGAGAUGAGCAGCUUCCCUUUAGGAGUCUGCAGUAGGGCUGGUACAAAUAUUUUGAAGAAGUCUGAUUCUUCAGAAGCUUUCAAGGUGCUGACAUUAGUUUAUUUUUUUAAGGCCAAACUGCUUAGGCUAGAAGGUCUUCAAGGUGAUAGAGACUUGCUCUAACUGCACAGGCUUUGCAGCUGCCUUCAGUUUAUACAGUCCCCUGCAUAAGUUAUUUCUGGGUGUCAUGGCACCGUGGCUGAAUUUAGUGCAGUACCAGGACUGCUUUGUAAAGCUGCCAGUACCCUUGGAAGUUCAGGUGAUCUCCUGAACUACUGGGAUUUUAAGGAAAUUCAUACUUUGCAAAGUAAAUCUAAUGAUUAGUAUUUAUUAGUAAUUGUGAUGGUCCUUUAAAAAAUAGUUUUAGUUGUACAUGCUGUGAAAUCCUUUAUUUGUUUCCUUUACAAAGAAAUCAAUCCAUCAGUGCCGUCUGUUGGGAAGCACAGGCUGUGUGAGAGGCAGAGGGGGCACAAGAGAGCGAGCAGGACUGGCUGGGAUGGACCGGGGUGGGAGGGCUCUUGCUGAACACACAGUGAAUAAUCAAAUACCUGUUUGUUUGGUGUUGUAUAAAGAUUUAAUUGCAGGAAUGCUUCCAACCUGCCCCCAUGAACUCUUAGAUGCUGAAUGAUACGAAGUUAUUUCUAGCAGUGCACAAACCUGUCAAGUGGGACAGGUCUGUGGCAUGGGGAAGUGUUUCUGUCACCAACCCUGGGUUACUUUUUGCAGUUCAACUUUGUUUCAGUUUGCCUUUUGCUCUCCUGCUGUGCCAGUAAGUGAACACUUGUGCAAAUCCAUCGCUUCUGCUCAGCUCUGGAGGGCCAGGGGGAGCAGAAGCCGGUGGGUAGAGGUUGCUUGUGCUGCAGUUUCCACACACGCUUGGUGGCAUUUAGCUUCCUGCUUGCCUUGACACUGCUUUGGCCCAAAACAUGAGGGAUAUAUUUUUGAGAAAUGCACGUUUCAUUUUUAAGCAUUCUUAAUCUUAAUAGUUAUGACAAAUUUUUAAAAUAUGUGCAUUUGAGACGGCAUUAAUAAUUCAUGAGUGUUUCAUUAAGAAAAAGAACAAACUGUCUAUAGGGCCAUUAAGUUCUUACUUGGCUAAGAUCAUCAAAAUUUAGAUGACCUAAAAUGGUACCUUGUUGGGGUCAUAAUAUGCUGCUUGAAAAAAAAUACCCUGUGAUUUAGUUUUGAUUCUGACAAUACUCAAAAGGAUUUGUUAUAUCUUACAGACCUUUCUGCAAACUACUAAUGGGAUGAACACAAUAUAUCACUUUUAUAAUAGUGAGCUAUUAAAGGCAAACAUAAAGCAGUCUGAAGCCCAUAAGUGCUGCCAACAGCUCCUGCUUUAAUGAAUUCCCUUUUAGAUGUCCAUUAAAUGCUCAUGGCAAAUGUACUCAUAAUGGAAAUGGCAAAUCUAAAUGGGUAGAUAUGAAUAAUCCAUGGAGUUUAAAUUCUGUUUAUGAUCAUCUUCACAUUUAGUUUUCAAGACAACGCAGUUUAGUUUUCAUUACAGUUUGGAAUAAAGAGGACAGGGAGUAAUUGAUUGCUUCAAGCAGAUUAAAAUCAAUGGGUUGCUUUUCAAAGAACCCGUUCGAUGCAGUAAUUUCAACUUUAAACAUUGAUUUAGGGAACUCAACACAAAAUGUUUUGUGCCGUGUGAACUUUUAUGUGUAAAGACUAAUACUAAUUUUAUUUCUAUAUAUCUGUAUAUAGAAAUAUAUAGAGGUUGUUAUCAGUAUGUGCAUGAGUAAACAGUGAUCUAUAGUAAGUUAUUUUGGUAUUAUUGCACUCAUGUAAUGAAUCAAUGAGAUUCCCGUCAUCAUUGGGAUACUGUUUGUAAACCAUUAGCACACAGAAAUUACAGCCCAUCAUACAUCAUUACUGUGAUUGAGGCUUUAUUACCAUAUUCUCAAAUUGCUUGCUUGCUAUAAAACUAAAUAGACACCAGACAACUAUAGGUAGACGAUAGACUGUGCAUUAUUGGGCUGGAGUAAUGAAGGAUUAUUGUAGCAUAAUGGGGCACAACUUAUGAGGAAAAUAAACUUGGCAGCAAAGGAAAGCUUGAGUGUUUUUAAUGCUUGUUGUUACUGCUUUAAAGGUCAAAUAUAUUUGUUAUGAUCGAGUUACUGUUUCCUUAUUUCAUGAAUCAUACACUUUUGGUGUUCCAUAUAGGCUUUGUUUUAUUUUUAAGCAUUUAAAACACAGGAAUUGCACUGCACCUUUCAGCUCCAGAGGUGAAUUUGCAGCUCUGGGGCAGUGCUGUGGCUGUCAAGGUGCUGGGAUGGGGGAGAGCCCUUGCUCUGCACACAUUGCUUUUCUUCUGGACAGAGGCAGGGAGGGAAAACUGCAUCAACAGACAUUAACAGCUGUUAAAUGUGAUGUAAGUUCUCCAAACACACUGAGGCAAAGUAUACAUUAGGAAUUUGGGGAGCUAUAGUGAAAGUAUUUAUGAUACCCUCAUUUUAAAAGAUGAGAGGACACACUGAAUUUCCACUUGGGGAAUUUAGUAAUCUCCUGCACAGGAUAUGUUCAAGGUGUUACUUUCUCUGGCUACAGAAAAAAGUGUUUUAGAAAUUUCAGCUUAAGGCUUCUGACCAUGAGACAUGCAGACAGGGAGGCAUUUCUUCGUACUCACGUGAGAUUUCAGAGACAGUAAGACCUUUUAUGAUGGCAAAGAGGUGUCAACAUCCUCCGUCCUUUUUACUUGCCUCCUCAAAAGGAUCCAAACCUCCACACCCUUCUAAACUUUUGCUGUCUGUACCAUCUUUCAUCAGUGUUAGAUUCUUCUCUUCUGGAGUUUUUAGAAUAUUACAGCAAAUUGUGGUAACUUCUGUAUGUUAGUAAGGUAGGAACUUGUUGUUUCUGCCAGUUUUGUUUAGCUGAAUUUUUGCGUGAGCAAGGGUUGUAAACCCUUGACAUGCUGACGUGUUGGGAGAGCAGACUCCUUAGGGCUUGGCUGUCUACAGGCAGAGAUUGCUGAAGAAGGUAACAGACAGUGUUAAAACUUCCGUAAGUUGUUAAAAAGAAUCUGUAAGUUGAUGUACUGCUUUGUACCUUAAAAUUCCAGUUUAAAUAAUAGUGAUAUUCCAUGGGGUUUUUUUGCAUGAAAGCUUCUGGAGUUCUUAAUGGGGAUGAGUGAAACCAUCAGGAUAGAGUACUCAAUUGCUGAGAGGCAGUGAGCAACUUGAUGUGCAUUCACUUUUGCCAGGGGUUUGAAAACACAUGCUUUUUCAUAAAGUACAUUUGACCUUUCUUUGCCUUCCAUUUGGCAUGAAUUCACAUUUCAUUUCAGUUCUGAAAGUAGAGGCAAUAUCUGUAAACCACAACACCUCGUUAUGCACCGGUCCAAAUAGGAGGUAAGGACAGGGGAGGAAAUUAUUGUUUCGUUAUAUUUUAUAGAUAUUUGACAAUACAUGUGUAUUACUAUAUUUUUAACAAGGAUAUAAACAAUAAGAGCAUUCCAGGCUGAGAAACGGUCGAAACAUAUUGCUGAUAUUCAGUCUAGACUCAAAAUGCUGCUUCUCAGGAGUAGAAUGUGUCAGAUCUGGAAAACUCGUAGAGCUUUUGUCAGAGUUUGCUGUGAAUGCCUCUCUCGUGGGCUCAGGAGAGCUGCUGCAGCUGGGAACCCUCCUCAGUUCCCUCCAUUAGACAAGGAACUUCCUUGGCUCGAGGAAAAACCCUUUGAAGUGAUAAUGAUGUAAUGUACCAAUAGAAGAUUUCAUGAUUCCAUUAUCUCCGUGAUGGCAUUGGUUUGGAGAGAGCUUCCCCUUUGUCCUUUCAUCAGGAAUUGGUUUGUUCAGUGCUCAGUGAGUCAGUUCUGGUUUCUUCAAAGAGAGAUAUCUGAGUGUUGUGGAGUAAUCAUUGUUAGGCAAAGUUCUUCUCUUGAGUUUAAGACAGCUGUAAUUAAAAACAUCUCACCAGUUGGGUUUUAAUAGACACAAUUACCACAGCAAAUAUGUUCAGCCGUUAGGUUUGAAGAAUAUAUUUCUAUUAACGUCUAGGCAGAUCUUCUAUAUAGUUGCAGAAAUUGUCUCUAUGAUAUGUUGAUACUACUUUUACAUAAUAAUGCCUUACAUAUUCUAGAGUGCUGCAUAAAGCCACUCAUUUUUAUUUGUGUUAAGUCUCUUCAUGUAUAUUUGGUAAUGCUUAUAGAGAUGUGUUUUCAUUUAAUCACUAGAA
Molecule: non-coding RNA, 7911 nt
Organism: Cyanistes caeruleus (blue tit)
Lineage: Eukaryota; Metazoa; Chordata; Aves; Passeriformes; Paridae
Source: RefSeq, a predicted model, not a curated record